GUUAUAUUGACAUUUCAAGCUAUAAGUUAACCCUGAUCAAUCAAAUGGAUAGGUCUAAGCAAUUAUGGUCCUUCCAACUGCCCUUAACUAGGUGUCUUUGCGAGGCAGACACACAGACAGAGAGGGGGGAGAGGGAGAAAGAGGAUGAGAGUGAAAGAGAGAGGUGGGAAGAGUGAAAUACAGAGAGAGAUCAGGGGGAGAGAGAGAAACAGAGAAAGACGGUCGUGUAAAAUGACUUAGACUUGAGCAUUUCAACAACUAUUUUCUUCAAACUUGUUAGGCAAUCAUAUGUACUCACCAGGGAAGGAUGGCCAGCCACACAAGAGGGUGAUUUUCAUUGAGGAGAAGGAGGCCAUGCUGACCGAGAUGCAUGUCGGCCAUUUUGGAGUGAAGCUCAUGAUUGCCAAAAUCAACAUAUGCUUCUUUUGCCAUGGGAUUGUCAAGGAUGUGGACAGCUGGGCAAAACACAAUGUUUCAGUUUGUCACCUUGAGCUUAAAAGUCAGUACCUGUCUAGCCUGACAGAAGUUUGAGAGGUUUUAGACUGUGUUGAAGACCAUCCGUUGUUUCACCAUGGCACAUGAUCGGGGUGGACCUCAUUGGACCCUUCACAAAAUCCAGGAAGGGCAACAGCUGGUGUUUGAAGGUGACCAAUUAUUGGGUGGAGGCAAUACCCAUUAAGGAAAAUACUGGCAAGGCCACCUCCAAGGCGAUGAUGGACAUCUUCAAUACCCAUG
Long non-coding RNA from Oncorhynchus tshawytscha (Chinook salmon), 735 nucleotides. The record is from Ensembl. Lineage: Eukaryota; Metazoa; Chordata; Actinopteri; Salmoniformes; Salmonidae.